ACACUCGGGAAACCGGAGCUAAUACCGGAUAAGAUAUCGAACCGNCAUGGUUCGAUAGUGAAAGAUGGUUUUGCUAUCACUUAUAGAUGGACCCGCGCCGUAUUAGCUAGUUGGUGAGGUAACGGCUCACCAAGGCAACGAUACGUAGCCGACCUGAGAGGGUGAUCGGCCACACUGGAACUGAGACACGGUCCAGACUCCUACGGGAGGCAGCAGAC
RNAcentral lists this ribosomal RNA (218 nucleotides) under uncultured Staphylococcus sp. RNAcentral's name for it is "partial 16S ribosomal RNA". It matches the Rfam family "Bacterial small subunit ribosomal RNA", at positions 145 to 354 of the family's 1533-position model. Lineage: Bacteria; Bacillati; Bacillota; Bacilli; Caryophanales; Staphylococcaceae. The record is from RNAcentral.